This 253-nucleotide ribosomal RNA is filed under the name uncultured bacterium. RNAcentral's name for it is "partial 16S ribosomal RNA". It matches the Rfam family "Bacterial small subunit ribosomal RNA", at positions 524 to 776 of the family's 1533-position model. The record is from RNAcentral.
UACGUAGGGUGCGAGCGUUGUCCGGAAUUAUUGGGCGUAAAGAGCUUGUAGGCGGUUUGUCGCGUCUGCUGUGAAAAUCCGGGGCUCAACCCCGGACUUGCAGUGGGUACGGGCAGACUAGAGUGUGGUAGGGGAGACUGGAAUUCCUGGUGUAGCGGUGGAAUGCGCAGAUAUCAGGAGGAACACCGAUGGCGAAGGCAGGUCACUGGGCCGCAACUGACGCUGAGGAGCGAAAGCAUGGGGAGCGAACAGG